This is a long non-coding RNA of Bombus pyrosoma, 5100 nucleotides long. RefSeq lists it as uncharacterized. Lineage: Eukaryota; Metazoa; Arthropoda; Insecta; Hymenoptera; Apidae. The record is from RefSeq and is a predicted model, not a curated record. The transcript is spliced from 2 exons.
GGUUUCAUGCAUGGGGUCAAGAAAGAGACUGAGACGUCCGCGUUAUCCUCUUGGCCUCGAAACGUUUGUCCGUCCGUCUUAUACGUAUACGUCGUUGAAAUUUUUAUUGUUCGUCCGAUCGAGUUAUUUGUUCGUCGAGUUGAAUUAUUUAUUCGUCGAGUCCAAUUAUUUGUCCGUUUAAUUCCCGGCGUAUAAGUCGCGAUCCCCGACGGGAUUGCAAAAUAUUUUUACUUAUAUCAUUGUUGUUGGUAAUUUAUUUUUCUUCUUCAUCUUGCUUCUCCAUGACAAUGUGAAAAGCGACCACAAAUUAUUAGAUUAUUACAAAAGGGGAUCACAACUUUGAAGAGGUUGGUAAACACCAGUCUAGUCUCUGGUCGAAUUGUUCAGUCGUCUUAUCUUAUGCUCGGUCCUGUCUUACGAUCGAUUUCAUAUUUCUCGUUUUGUAUAUUUGGUUCAAUCAACGCUACAAAGGAGCCUUCAAGUAGCUAUCGAUGAUGGAGGAGUUAGUAUAGUCGAAGAAAUCCUCGAACCGUACUCGAACCGACUGGGCGGAGUUCAGAAACUUCUGAACUUAACAGAUCUAUUAUUUCAAUAUCUUCUUACGAUAUGAUCGAGCGCAGUUUAAUUGAAAAGCGCGAAUAUCAAGACAUUCCGCAUCGCGUGGCUCCACCAUCUCUUGCACACUAAUUUAUUAAUUGAUAUAUUAGGCAAGUUAACAAGCGACCAGUUGUAGGCUGUAGACUUUGUUGCACAAACUACACCCUCUUACUUUCUUGUUUCAUCCUUUUAGACUCACCUACACUUUUUUAAUCUUAUUUAAAAAUGAAACAAACUUUUCAAAACUUUCUAUAAUAGUCACAUACUACAUUACACUUAAGUAAUUCUUUCCAAUUUAAACAAAUGAGUCGCGUUUUUCAAGUAAGAUAUUUCUGUUUCGUAUCGAUACAUCGCAAGAAUAAACGAUACAAGCUUUCAAAGGAGUAUGGGCAAGUAUCCACGACUGGCAGAGUACUUCUUAUCCGAAAUUUAUGAUCGCGCUAUAACGAGCAUCGUCGAUCGCCACUUGAAGCGUCCUUUACCAAAAGCGUGUACGCGAAAAGGUCGAAGAUCCUCUCGACCGACCAUCAAGAUUCUAGGGUGCUCGUCACGUGUUUCUCGUUGGGGAUGUUUUUCAAGGUUUCUUUCAGGCGUCACUUUUUCUCCCUUAUGGUACAACCACGUUGAGAGCCACGUCAAAUUUUCACCUUGUCAUUUAACACGUGCCGUCCAUUAUGUUCGUCAAGUCGAACGAACAAUUUAAUUCGACAACGUUGCUGGUUUCUUAACAAACUUGCACGAACCUACGUCAAUUUCGACGACGCCAUUCGCGUAUACGUGAGCGUUCUUACCUCGAUCAAGCGAAAGAGAGACUCGUUUCAAGUGUUUUUAGAACGUCGGCAAUUGCUACGAACAUCCUUUCAGGAGUUUCUCUCGUAACGGGCACCCAGAAUUUCCUUUCGUCUCAGCGAAAGUUUCCAGCGGUAUCGUUGACUCGAUCUUAAACACGAGCUCGCGUUGCUCGUAAAAAUAGACAAAAGAAAAUAGGAAGAUCUGCGAAUCGAAUCGUUCGAUGAGACAUUCUUUCGUACUCUCAAACUCUCAACGUUCCCAGAUGAUCUGUAAAGCCGGAUAUCCAAUGACUAUGCAAAAUGUCUGCGAAUGUUUGCGAACGUCGAUGUGGAUUUAUCUCGUGAAGAAUGCAAAGCACGCAUAAAUGGCAAAUAAUUGCGAAGGUAAAGAAAUUAAUUCGCUGUUCCGGCUUCGUAGCGAUUUUGUAGCAUCGAUGCUACUACCAAACGAUGCUGAUGACUUUGCGCGUUUGUUAAAAAUAUACAUCUGGUGGAUACCCGGCUUGAAGAUGGCCAGUAUCUUCCGAACUUCUUCGUACAUAUAUAUACGUGGUUUCAUCUUUGGUGUGUGCGAAGAGGAACAGAACGGAGUUAAUUAUUAACAGAAAAAGGAGGGGGAAAAUGAGAAAAAAGAGGAGCGAAAGGAAAGAAAAGAGAGGAAAUGGGGAAAUACAUAACGGACGCCCUCGAUUUUUCUUCACCUCUCAUCUACUUCUCUACGUUUCUACGUGUACUCUACUUGCACGCUUCUACACAGCUACCGGAUACUCGUACACUAGUCUAAUUGCGGCGUUUGCGACCACUUUCCUUCGCAAAAGCGCGGAAGGCAAAAACGAAGCCGAAAAGUGUUUGGUGUUCUUCUCUGUUUCGAACGUUUUCAACGAUUUUACAUGUAGAUGACGCGGGUGCACGUACACACGAGCCUCGACUCUUAUUUCCCCGCCGGAACAACAACGGAACAGUUUUAUUGUUACACGCUCUAUUUCCGGCUGAAAAUAUAUCAGGCUGACGCGAACGUAUGAGUGUACACACUGUAUAUAUGUGUGCGUAUGUGUGUGUGUAUGUGCGCGCGAACGCGAAUCGUUCUCAGCGAUGCGAUGUAUGCAAGAACAAGCUGUGGCGAAUAAAACUACGUAUCUCUAUGUGACGAAAAAAAAAGAAGAAAAAAAGAAAUGAGAAAGAGAGAAAUGAAACGAACGAAAGGCAAAAGCAACGACGGCGAAACGAAUAAUAGCACUUACCGUGACGACACAAGCAGAGUGCGUCAGCCAAAUUAAUCGAUACAUGUAUACAGGGUGAUAAAAAAGACUGAGACUUUAGUGGCUCAUAGCUCUCACCGAGAGAAGAAAAAAUGAUUAAUCAACGUAGAUCACGAGGGAACUAUAGUUACAUACUCGACUAGAGACGUACAGUAUAUUUUGAGAAGAGGAACGCGAUGUCCUCGGCUAAAACUCUCGAAACUGAAAGGAAUCGGUAAGAAGAGAAAAAGAGAUACAGGUGGAAGAGGUUGGAGAAAAAGAGAGAGAGAGAGAGAAAGAUUAAAGAAGAAUAUGUAUUAUAAUAUCAAAGAGCGUAUAUAGGGUAUAUAAUAUAAAGGAGGCGGAAACAACAACAACGCAAAUAACACAAAAGGUAAAUGACAAUAAUUUAUUGCUGUCAAGGGUAAUUACGUUCUACAAAGAAAUGAUAAAUCGUUGGUGUGUCCGAGCAAUAAGUACGAAAUUAUGUACUUAAGAAAGGCAAAAAGCACCGGCACGCAGAACCGUUCAGUAUAAAGUAUAUAGAAAGAGAGACACGCGUAUGAACUCGCUGAUCGGCGCGCUAUGAGAAGCAAACGAACGAUUCUUCGUCCGAUCGAUUGAUUGAUCGAUCGAUCGAUGAACGCGAACGAUCUAGCUGAUACAGCUUUCAUAUUUUCUAGCUAACAAUAAUGCACAAAACGUGCAGUCGCGAGAAAAGUAACAAAAAAAAAAGAAAGAAAAGACGAAAAGGAAAUAGACGCAGAAACGAUCAAAAGUAAAUACAUGUAUAUGUAUAUAUAUAUGCGGCAUAUUUUUACCGUCGGUUCUGCGAACACUGCACUCGUUAUUAAAGUAAUAAUAAUAAUAAUAAUAAUAAUAAUAAUAAUAAUAAUUAAUAAUAAUAAUAAUAAUUAAUAAUAAUCGUAGUAGUAGUAAUAGUAGUAGUGGUAAUAAUAAUAAUAAUAAUAAUAAUAAUAAUAAUAAUAAUAAUAAUAAUAAUAAUAUCAACGCGUUUGCAGGUAAUAAUGAACGGUGUACACGAAUGGUACGUAAACUAUUUUUCUUGUAUGUAUACAUAUAUAAGUUUUUAUACGUGUCAUAUACCGAGUUCUGUAGCCAUAGGUAACAUGUAUACGUCGACAAUUUUACAGCAUAAACAUACAUGAAACGCAAGAAAAAUAAUUACUACUGGUAGAAAUAAUAAAGGAGGAGAAUCUACUAGCAUACUAUAUAUGUGUAUAUAUAUCUAUAUCUGAGACGGUAGGUACCGCACAAAAAUUACAUAGAGGUGUAUACAAUGGUAAGGGAUUUGUAUGUCCGUCUCUGUAUAUGAGAAGCGAAAAGGACGAGAAACAAACGAAAGAGGAAAAGAAGAAAAAUACGGAGAAAAAAAUGAAAAAGAAAGACAGGUGGAGAGAUACUCGUGGAUCAAACAGGGAGGGUUUUUUUUUCAUGGAGUCUUCCAACGACGAGGGGCGGUUGUAACAAAGUAACAAAGUUUACUCAACAAGACAGUUCUCUGUUUAGUGACGAUAAAUAAAAAAAAAAAAGAAGAAGAAGUAAUCGUAUUGUAUAAACGAACGGGGCUUGUAGAAAGUCUACCAGGAGGUCUGUCGACACGCGGAGUCGAGAGACCACGUUGUGGAAUGACGAAAACACAUUACGAACGGAACGUCGAUAAGAAGAUUCUUAUAGAUAUAAUCUCUAAAUAGAUCUUUAUAGAUAUAAAGCAAGAAUCUUUGAUACGCGAGAUAUAUAUAUAUUUUUUUCUUAAAAUAACAUCUCACGUGUCAAGCUUCUAAGAAAAUCUUGAAAAUCAAUUUUGACGUCGAUAAUUUUCAUAAAUGUCCGAAUUUGGUGGAUUUUUUGGAUUCAAAAUCGAUGUUAAUCGGAGUAUUUUAAACAAGAAAUCAUAAAAUAUCUAAAAGAGAGUGUGUCGAUAUCGAAAGCUUCGAAUUACUGUUGUGUUUUAUGUGCUUCAGUUUUAUUACGAAAAUACGUGCUCUAUGUGUGCGCGUGUGCGUGUGUGUGUUUGUGUUUGGGAAUUAAUCCAGACCCUCGAGCAGUAGUAACUUAUAGCUGGACGUUGACGAGUAUAGCAAGCUGACGAAAACGAUAAACGAGGGGGGAAAAAAGAAAGAAAACAGAUUGCGAUAAUCGAUGUGGGCGUAAAACUUUAAAUCUCGACAUUGUUUUUAAAUAAAAAGUUAAUGUGCGGACCAGACAGUAAAUCGACCGAGUCAGACGCCUAACGUUAGAGACAUUGCUCUUUACUAAGUCGCGAGUUUUCUACCUAUAUUGAUAAUGAAAGCACUGCUAGUGAAAUUCCCACCAAAAGGAGUUUAAUUAUUGCUGUAUAAGCGAUACAAAAUUACAGGCUACUUAUUUAUUAUAUUAAACAAGAUUAGACCCAAACGAAGUAGCUUUCGAUGCUGAUUUUAAGAAAAAAAAAGAAAAAAAACAAACAAAAA